CCUACGGGUGGCAGCAGUGGGGAAUAUUGCACAAUGGGCGAAAGCCUGAUGCAGCCAUGCCGCGUGUGUGAAGAAGGCCUUCGGGUUGUAAAGCACUUUCAGCGGGGAGGAAGGCGGUGAGGUUAAUAACCUCGUCGAUUGACGUUACCCGCCGAAGAAGCCCCGGCUAACUCCGUGCCAGCAGCCGCGGUAAUACGGAGGGUGCAAGCGUUAACCGGAAUUACUGGGCGUAAAGCGCACGCAGGCGGUCUGUCAAGUCGGAUGUGAAAUCCCCGGGCUCAACCUGGGAACUGCAUUCGAAACUGGCAGGCUAGAGUCUUGUAGAGGGGGGUAGAAUUCCAGGUGGAGCGGUGAAAUGCGUAGAGAUCUGGAGGAAUACCGGUGGCGAAGGCGGCCCCCUGGACAAAGACUGACGCUCAGGUGCGAAAGCGUGGGGAGCAAACAGGAUUAGAUACCCCGGUAGUC
RNAcentral lists this ribosomal RNA (465 nucleotides) under uncultured Klebsiella sp. Its description in RNAcentral is "bacterial SSU rRNA". It matches the Rfam family "Bacterial small subunit ribosomal RNA", at positions 338 to 795 of the family's 1533-position model. The record is from RNAcentral. Lineage: Bacteria; Pseudomonadati; Pseudomonadota; Gammaproteobacteria; Enterobacterales; Enterobacteriaceae.